CUGGGCACCCAGGCUGCGCUGAGACCUUCCUGCAGUGGACAGGAAGAAGUGUGUCACUUCCUCUCUACAGAUCUACCGUGCCCACCUCCCGGUCCAACCAACAGAGAAACAGGAGGACAGAGCAGUGGAUGGAAGGGAGUGUCUGUCGUACUUUUACUGCCCCCCAUUAUCAGCCCCACCACCACCACCACCACCACCACCACCCUCCACAGACACAGCCAGAGAGAGAACAGAACCCUCUUUGAUUCCAGUAGAUUUGGGUAAGUAGCUCAUGAAUCUAGGGUUUCCUCCCUGAGACAAACACACGCUAUAUCCUUUGUAAAAAAAAAAAAAAUCUAACACACUAUAACAGAUGGAUGAUGUGGAGAGCUUUAAACAAAAGUAUAUUUUGAGCAGAUCACAAUCUAGCUGAGCUGCUUGAACAGAGACACGUUUAUAAAUACUGCGUCCAUGUAUCAGCUCCGCUACUUUUUAGUUAGUGUUCUUACAUAACUCACUGUGGAUGUGUGGAGGAGGCAGAGUGCAGCUUCCAAGCACCGACGCUGCCCACAGACACACACGGACUGUUGUGUUUCGUCAGAUAGUGGAGAGGACUUUUAAUUUCCUAUGUACAGUACAUGAAACGAUUCCUGUAGGUUUAUAUAUAUAAAUCUUUCAAUCAUAAAAUAUAACAUAAAUAAAACAUCUGAUUUCUAAGAGUUAAUUAAAACUGGGGUUGUUAUAAAAAUCCAAAUUUCAUUGGAGGGAGGGGGGACAGGGAGCUCCAUGCUCCUGGUCCGCCCCCAAGUUGCAGCACGAGCCACUUAGCGCUAAGAGCAGCUGUAAGCGCGCGGGCGCGCGUCUACGUGUACGUGUGCGUGCCUUCUCCUGUCACGCGGAGACAGCCAAUGCCAAACACACAGCAUCGGCUGAGGGGGAGCUGCAGCAGCAGCAGCAGCGAUAUUAAUUUGGACUGUUUUUUUUUUUUACCACGCACGGACGCCGCGCGCUCCAGUUUUAGCCGCGCCAACAUUUACGCGCAGCAGAGUCCGUGUGUAAACGCGCCUCUCGUCAACGUCGUUGCGUUUUUUAUCGUCUCCGGUUCUGUUUGCCUGUGUCUGUGACUGAGCUACGCACACCGGAGUCCACUGUUGUUUUAAUGCGCAGCUGCACAGGCAGAGGGAGCAGUCGGCUGUCCGUGUCACCGAUGAACAGCUCCAGAGAACAGGAACCUUCAUCUCCGCCGUCACAAUAACCCGCACGUCACGUUCUCUCAUCUGGAGCGGCCCAGCAGCACCCGGUCGGAGCUUCAUCCUCUCGGGGAUACCCGAGUGCAUCCCUCCAUCCUCCCGUCAUCUGCCGUGUUGCGUCCACCCCCCAGCCCCCCACACUUCGUGAAGGAUCUAUAGGAUCUAGUCAGGGAGCAGGGGUUAGGAGGAGGAGGAGGAGGAGGAGAAGGAGAAGGAGGUGGUGGCUGUGGCUGUUCGUGGCCGCGGCAGUCGCACCCUCUGCGUGGUGAGGCAGGGCUGAAGCGCCGCUGUGUCGGAGGAUGCUGCAGGAGUAGAGCGGCUCAGAGCGGACGAUGGGGAAGGACCAGGAACUGCUGCAGGCGGUGAAGACCGAGGACCUGCUCACGGUGCAGAAGCUGCUGCAGAGGCCUCGGCCAGGGAAAGCAAAGCUCCUCGGUUCAGCCAAGAAGGUGAACGUCAACUUCCAAGACACAGAUGGGUGAGUACAUGUCUCUAACUUUUAUCAUCCUCCACAUUUUUCACCAUAACUUCCCCCUAAAGUCGUUGACCAAAUUGAGCAAAAACAACAUGAAAAGUUCACAUUUUGACAGAAUUUUUAUAGAAAUAAAUUUCUAAAAAUGUUUUCUAAAUGCCUU
Cynoglossus semilaevis (tongue sole) is the source of this 1864-nucleotide long non-coding RNA. RefSeq lists it as uncharacterized. Lineage: Eukaryota; Metazoa; Chordata; Actinopteri; Pleuronectiformes; Cynoglossidae. The transcript has 3 exons. The record is from RefSeq and is a predicted model, not a curated record.